CCUACGGGUGGCAGCAGUGAGGAAUCUUCCACAAUGGGCGAAAGCCUGAUGGAGCAACGCCGCGUGAAGGAUGAAGGCCUUCGGGUUGUAAACUUCUUUUAUGAGUGAAGAAUAUGACGGUAACUCAUGAAUAAGCACCGGCUAACUACGUGCCAGCAGCCGCGGUCAUACGUAGGGUGCGAGCAUUAUCCGGAGUGACUGGGCGUAAAGAGUUGCGUAGGCGGUUUAAUAAGUGAAUAGUGAAACCUGGUGGCUCAACCAUACAGACUAUUAUUCAAACUGUUAAACUCGAGAAUGGUAGAGGUAACUGGAAUUUCUUGUGUAGGAGUGAAAUCCGUAGAUAUAAGAAGGAACACCAAUGGCGUAGGCAGGUUACUGGGCCAUUUCUGACGCUAAGGCACGAAAGCGUGGGGAGCGAACCGGAUUAGAUACCCUAGUAGUC
This 442-nucleotide ribosomal RNA is filed under the name uncultured bacterium. Its description in RNAcentral is "bacterial SSU rRNA". It matches the Rfam family "Bacterial small subunit ribosomal RNA", at positions 338 to 795 of the family's 1533-position model. The record is from RNAcentral.